Molecule: ribosomal RNA, 497 nt
Filed under: uncultured bacterium
Lineage: Bacteria
Description: partial 16S ribosomal RNA
Rfam family: Bacterial small subunit ribosomal RNA
Source: RNAcentral
GAUGAACGCUGGCGGCGUGCCUAAUACAUGCAAGUCGAGCGAACAGACGAGGAGCUUGCUCCUCUGACGUUAGCGGCGGACGGGUGAGCAACACGUGGAUAACCUACCUAUAAGACUGGGAUAACUUCGGGAAACCGGAGCUAAUACCGGAUAAUAUAUUGAACCGCAUGGUUCAAUAGUGAAAGACGGUUUUGCUGUCACUUAUAGAUGUAUCCGCGCCGCAUUGGAUAGUUGGUAAGGUAACGGCUUACCAAGGCGACGAUGCGUAGCCGACCUGAGAGGGUGGUCGGCCAGACUGGCACUGAGACACGGUGCAGACUCCGACGGGGGGCAACAGUAGGGAAUCCUCCGCGAUGGGCGAAUGCCUGACAGAGCAACGCCGCGUGAGUGAUGAAGGUCUUCGGAUCGUAAAACUCUGUUAUUAGGGAAGAACAAAUGUGUAAGUAACUAUGCACGUCUUGACGGUACCUAAUCAGAAAGCCACGGCUAACUACGUG